This 671-nucleotide ribosomal RNA is filed under the name uncultured bacterium. RNAcentral's name for it is "bacterial SSU rRNA". It matches the Rfam family "Bacterial small subunit ribosomal RNA", at positions 104 to 774 of the family's 1533-position model. The record is from RNAcentral.
GGGUGCGUAACGCGUAUGCAACCUACCCAUUACAGGGGGAUAACACUGAGAAAUCGGUACUAAUACCCCAUAACAUCCAGGGAGGCAUCUUCUUGGGUUGAAAACUCCGGUGGUAAUGGAUGGGCAUGCGUUGUAUUAGUUAGUUGGUGGGGUAACGGCUCACCAAGACGACGAUACAUAGGGGGACUGAGAGGUUAACCCCCCACAUUGGUACUGAGACACGGACCAAACUCCUACGGGAGGCAGCAGUGAGGAAUAUUGGUCAAUGGACGCAAGUCUGAACCAGCCAUGCCGCGUGCAGGAAGACGGCUCUAUGAGUUGUAAACUGCUUUUGUACGAGGGUAAACGCAGAUACGUGUAUCUGUCUGAAAGUAUCGUACGAAUAAGGAUCGGCUAACUCCGUGCCAGCAGCCGCGGUAAUACGUAGGUGGCAAGCGUUGUCCGGAUUUAUUGGGCGUAAAGCGAGUGCAGGCGGUUCAAUAAGUCUGAUGUGAAAGCCUUCGGCUCAACCGGAGAAUUGCAUCAGAAACUGUUGAACUUGAGUGCAGAAGAGGAGAGUGGAACUCCAUGUGUAGCGGUGGAAUGCGUAGAUAUAUGGAAGAACACCAGUGGCGAAGGCGGCUCUCUGGUCUGCAACUGACGCUGAGGCUCGAAAGCAUGGGUAGCGAACA